This is a non-coding RNA of Heterocephalus glaber (naked mole-rat), 4153 nucleotides long. The record is from RefSeq and is a predicted model, not a curated record. NCBI's taxonomy places the organism in Eukaryota, Metazoa, Chordata, Mammalia, Rodentia, Bathyergidae.
UUAUGUACUGCAAACAUGCACUAAUAAAAAUAAAUAAAUAAAACACAAAAAAAUUGUAAAAGAUAUUACUGAAGUACAAUAGUGAGACAUGUCAGUAUCUGAGAGAACAGAUUUUCUGGCAAAGGGGGUAUGCUUUACAUGUGUGAGGAGAAAAUAGUCUGAGAGAUAUGGAAUGAUAGAAUCCCUGUGGUAGGAGAAAAAAGAAGAUGUAGAUGGGGAUGAGAUCAAACACAGAUGAUUAGAUAUUGCUUUAAAAAUAGUCUUUCUUCUGACUCCAAUGGGAAGCCAUUGGAAGGCAAGCAGAGUAGUAACAUGAUAUGGCUACACAUUACCUGGCAUUCUCUUCUGCCUUGUUGAGAAUAGUCUACCAAGGAGUAGAGCCCGGUCAAUGGGAAAUAUUAAGAAGCCUAUGAAGAAGCCAAGUGAGCAGUGAUGGGGUGUGGUGUGUCUGUCACUAGGCAACUAAGAAAAUCAAAGUCCCUGUAAACAGUUGCGGCAUUAUUGCCAUGUUCAGGAAUUAUGGAUAUAAAAAAGCUUUGGAAAAACAAAAGGGCCACAGGCAGAGAGGCUUUGCCACAGGUCUCAAUUUCAUGUGCCAAAGGAAUUUUGAUGCUGAAAAAAUUCUCAAACUUCAAGAUUUUCUAGAAAAUUUCACACAACUACUUAAGACUGUGUAAGUAGAGCAGGGGAGGGUGGUUCUGAAGAACAUUCCUACACAGGUGAGAAUGCCAGAAUUCCAAGCUCAUGGGUCCAUGUGUGCUUUGGAAAAUUGUACCCUGUCCAUCUCUUCCACCUAUCACAUCUUGCAUGAUGCUUAUUACCAGCAAAUGCUGCCAUUAAUGUAUACCAUAGGAAUUAUUAUCUGUGUUCCAGCACUGCUUUUAAUGCAAUGUUUUCUUAUAUGUCAUAUAUUGUUUAAUGGCUUGGUAAGGUUGGAAGAUAAAAAUAAUGUUAGAUAAUUUCUCACUAUUAUUCACACUAUAACAGGUAGCAUCUUAUUCUGUCUUCCUGAAGGCAACUAUAAGGUAAUUCAAUUAAUUGAUUAUUAAUUUUUGUGUCUACCUAUCUUAUGAGAUUACCAGCUCCCUGACAGAAAGCAGAAAUCCUUUGUCUUACUGUGUCCUCAGAAAAUAGGACUAUUUCUGGAAUAUAAUGGAUGCACAGUAAACACUUUUUGAUUGAGUGAAAAGCUUUUCCAUAAUAUGAGGAAUCAUGAUGGGCCAAAUCAAAUGCUAAAGUGCUAAGAGAAUCAAGCUAACAAGCAGAAAGGGGUAUAUAAAAAUUAUCUACACUGAAAACAAACACCCACAUUAAAUGAUAAUUAGAAUUUGAAAAAGUAUUGAACAGAGCAAGCAGGAUACAAAAAAUAAAUAAGCAGGAAUUAAAAACAACUGUGUAUAUGGCACAGCCAGGCAUAAAACAGCUGUAAAACAUUUUUAUUAUAUAAUUUAAUUAUUUCUAUUAGUUUUUUUAAUCAAAAGAAUCUUUCAUCUAUUCAUGAUGGACUUCAGGGGAAAAAAGCUUAGAGAUUUAUAUUCUCCUCGAGGUUUACAAGCAUAAUUGAAUCGAUACACUUGUAAUUUUUUCAGAUGCCAUUACAUUUUCUUGAUGCAGUUCUUUGUAAUUGUAAAUUGACAGCUCAAUCUUCUUGUCAGUUUCUGAAAAGACGUAUCUAAGGACUAUUCAAGAAAAUAUUUGGGGAGCUUAAUAAAAAGCAGCAAUGCAAUCAUGACCAAGCCCUUUUAGAACAAGACCUGAAUGCCAUUUCUCUCCUUGGAGCACUCUCAAUAUACCUGACAAUUCCAAGUAGGUUGGAGCUGCUACACAGGCAAACAACACAGGCAUCUGUUAGCAUAGGCUGGCUCUUCAAUAAUAGACCCUUCAGUUUUCUAAGGUCUUAGAGUAGACAUUCAUGGUGAAAAUGACAAUUUAAUGUACAAUAAGAUAACUAUAAAGAAGAGUCUUGGACACAUUAUUUAAUCAUAUUCUUCUGUAGUUCUGAGGGAAGAUGCUACUACAAUCUUGAUAUUACAGGUAAGGCAACUGAGUUAAAGAAGUCAACUAAUCUCAUUCACAGAGCUGAUAAACUGGAGAUACAGAUUCUAAUCCAGGCUUCCUAAAGAAUUAGCCUACUUCAGUACAAUGUCUCAUGAAAAUCUGCUUUUACAACUUUGGGAGGAGGUAGAAAGUGAGUCAUCAGGUGAUUCAGCUAUUGAUGAUGACUUGGAUCAUGUAAACCAAAGAAGUUGAGACACUGAGAUGGAGCAAGAUAUGACAAAUAGAUAGAGAAAUACAGAAUGAAGACCUCUGAUGCAGAUGAGGAAGAAAGCAGUAAUGUAAAUAAAUAUUUGACAAGUCAAAAUACUACAAAAUGGUUAUACAUACCUGAAUUAUCCAACAUUAGUACUAGGUCAGAAAAUGUUAUUACAUUCUUGCCAGGGGUGAAACCUGUUGAAAUGCCAACAUUGCAAUUCAGUGUUGGAAAUUGUAACAGAAAAUACAUUAAAAGAUAUUUUUAAAUACAAUAAUAAUGAAAUACAAGAAAACAUUCUAUAUGUAUCAAUAGUAAUACUCAAAAAUAUAACUAUCAUAACACCUCACUAUCUGAACUAAAAGCCUUCAUAGCAGGACUUCCUAAUUCGAAUCAUCAGAAUCUAAAGGAUUUAUGGAGAAGUGACAGAUGUGACAUUGUAAUUUUUAGAACAAUUAUGACACUCGAGAUUUGGUUUCCUUCCAAAUUGCCUAGGUUUUGAAGACAAAAAGACCCACCAAGAAAGAAAAAAAAAAUUAACAAUUUGGCAUCUAUUUGCUCAUGUUUUGAAAGCUUUGUUUUAAACUGUCAAGUAAUUUAUACAGCAUCUGAAUACAUGACAACUGACAAACAACUUGCAUCAUUUUGUGGUUGUUGAAGUAUUUGGUGAUAUAUGGCAAAUAAUCCUCCCAAAUAUGGUAGAAAAAUACAUGUCCUUGUAGAAGCAAAGGCAUUUUACACCUUGAAUUUAGACAUUUACCCUGGAGCUCAGCUACCAGGGCUCUAUUUGUGCAGUAAUAAACCAUAUGAUGUUGUGAAUGGACUUGUUACACCUAUUUCAAGAACUGAUCCAACAUUCAACAACUGGUUCACUAAUCACCUACCCAUUGAUGUUACAUUUGCUAAAAGAACACCAGUUGACCAGCAUAGGAACAAAGAAGAGAUUCCUGAAAAAAAUGCUGCAAGUUCACAAUAGAGAAAUGUAUAUUAUAAUGAAUUUCAGAAAAGACAUAACAUUGGGCUCCUAUAUGGUAAAGAAAAACAAAGUAGUAUUGAUGUGGUCAACAUUACACCAUGAUGGUAAGCUUGGUAGUGAAGCUGGACAUGGUGCACACCUGUAAUCCCAAUACUCAAGAGGCUGAGGCAGGAGGAUCCUGUGAGUUCAAGGUCAGCAGUGCUACAUAGUGAGUUCUAGGCUAGCUUGGACAGCACUAUGGUGAAUAAAAACAAAAUAAUAUUGAUACUGGCAAUGUUACACCAUGAUGAUAAGAUUAAUAGCAAAGCUGGUUGUGGAUGCCUGUAAUCCUAGCACUUGGGAGGCUAAAUCAGAAGGAUCCUGUGUGUCCAAGGUCAGCCUAUGCUAUAUAGUGAGUUCAACGCUAGCCUGGAUUAUAUAGUAAGAUCCUGUUUCAAAAAAAACAAACAAAUAACAAGAUUGAUAAUGAAUCCUCAAUACAAAUGAAGCCAUUAAUGUUGACAUUUUACAACAAAAUGAAAGGUGGAUUAGAUGUUGUUGAUGAGUUAUGCAUAUCGUAUCAUAUCAUAUCGUAUCACUGGAACUAUAAUAUCACUGGAAAGGCAAAGCAUUUGCCAAUAGCUGUGUUUUACUCAAUCCUAAACAUGUUAAGCAUAGUUUCAUAGUUUACAAAGAAAAUAGGCACAAAAUAUCAUGGAAAAUUUUCUUAGAGGAUUGGGACUCGACUUGAUAAAUGGUCAGUUACAAUAAAGAAAGAACAGUAUAUAUCUGCCAAAGAGCUCCCCAACAGAAUUCUGGAGCAAACGGGUGGACAGACAGGAUAAACACCACAAGAAUCUCCAAAAAAAGCAAGAAGAUAAGCAAGAUGUCAAGUAUGUCAUGCCAAAAAAAAAAAAGGAAAACAACACACGAGCUAUAAGUGUAAG